GACAUCAAGCAUAUGCAUAGAUGAGGCACUAGCAGAAAAGAUGCAAAACAAUCAAGAUGAUCAAGAACAAUGCCAAUGCCACUUCAUGUUACUUAAAUGCACAUAGUUAACUGCAAAAAAUCUGAGCACAAGUAAAUAUUCAAGGUGCGGAAAUGUCAAAUGAGCUGUGUAACAGCAUCUAUGUAUAUUUAUAAUGAGGUUUUUAGCAAUAUCUAGCUGAGAUGUCAGCUAGUGAGUCCCAUUAGAUGGCAAACUAAUACUACUCCCUCCGUCCCAGCCCAAUAGGCUCGCUUUCCUUUUUGGGACGUCCCACUCCAAUAGGCCCAGUCUAAAAUUGGAAAUAAUUAGGGCUCUAAUUAAAAUUAUAACUACUUGAUUAAGGGAAUAUACACCCCUAAUUAAAACUCUAAAAACUCUCAUUUUGGAAUUCACUCCUGCCGCUGUUCUUCUCCCCUCUCCUUCUCCCAUCUUCCGCCUUUUCCAUUCUCUCUCUCAACGACGAGCGCCACCGCCAUUUCCGCCGCCGUCGUCGCUCUCUUUCUCCCCUCUCCCGGUUAUGGUAGUCUUCUCCCCCUCCAGAUCCCAGAACCUCUACCGUCGUCUCUAGCGACGUAAACCCUAGCCGCCUCCACCGCGUUCUACCGUCUCCACCGCGUCGUCGGUCUCCACCACCUCCAUCCGCCUUGUACACCAGAUCUGGAAUUUUCUUUCUCUGAGUUUGAUUUUGGGUGGAGACGAUCGGGGUUGCUGAUUUUGGGUGGGGUUGCAGAUAUGGUGGCUGAAGCACGAUUUUGUUGAUUUAUUAAUUUUCAAACUCUGAGAAAUGGAUAGAAGGUCGAUUUGUUGAUUUGUUGAUUUUGUUGAUUGUCAAAUGGGUAGAAGGACGAUUUUCUAAGUUCUUUCUCAGAAUUUUGUUGGUUGCUGCUAUUGAAUUCGUAGUGUUUGAUUUAAUUUCCAGAAUUUCCCCUGAUUUGGGUGCUGCUAUUGAAUUCGUAGUGUUUGAUUCCUCUAAUUAAUUUCCAGAAUUUCCCCUGAUUUGGGUGUUCCUCUAAUGAAGCAAAUAUGAUUAAGGAAAAAUAAGGGAACAUUUAAAACCUUAAUUAUUGGUGGACCACACCAUUUUACCUACUAAAAAUGAGUUUCUUAAUCUCCGUGCCGAAAUGAACUGGGCCUAUUGGCCUGGGACGGAGGAAGUAUAUGUCUAGAACAAACUCUAAGCUAAUACAAAAGACACGGAGUAAUUCACAAAAUUCACCUACAUAUAGCUCAUGACAUAAAAUUAAAAAAAAGGAAGAACCUAUUCACAAGGAUGACAUUGCAUAGACUGCACCACAUAAUGAUAAAAUCAAUACAUUAUUGGCUACAUUGCAAAAUGUUUAACGAUUAAAGUAAUGAGACAUUGAAACCUCUACUUCCACCCAACCACGUCAACGAUUAAAGUAACGAUUAGGCUAGGGAAAUUUGUAAUAGUAAUGCACAUAAUCACUGAGCAUCACAUUCCCUUUGGUCAGCGAUAACAGGACAUCAAAUACAUGGAUGUAGCUCCUCCAACUUUUAGUUACUUGAGUCAUUCUUUUCCAGAAAUAAGAUGUUGAUUUCAAUAAACUCUUCUGUACUAAGAUCCUACCACAAGCUCAAUCAAAUAGAAAAGAAACGUAAUUAACCCAAAAAUUAUGACAAUAUACCACCCAAAACAGCAUGAGCAUCCAAAAAUUUAACUGACUAGAAAAAAUGUUCAUAAUAAGAAAGCAAAAAACAAAACAGUAACAAAAACAGAAACAUACUAGAGAUCUGGAGAAGUGCAGCAGAGUGUACCCUGAGAAAGAGCCCGAGAACUCCUAGACGAUGAGCUCAGGCACGACGUCAUCCUCGCCGUAGCCACCGCACUGUGCAGUGGCAGCAACGACGCCACACCUCCCAACUCCGCCGGUGCCCUAUCACCCACGCAAUCAUUUCAACAUUAUUGCAAACUAAAACUAAACAAAAAAGAAGUAAAGCAGUAUGAGAAUCUAGGGUUUACCUAGAGAGAGAGAAGCGGCGGAGGGGAGAGGCGACUGGACUUGAAAAUAGAGAGGGCCUAUUGGACGGAGUGGUGGCUGAUCUGUUAAGAGAAGAAGAAGAAGAAGCUGGCUUCGAAAUGGCCGAUUUUAGGGCAGAAACAGAAGAUCGCUGGAAAAUUCUGCUGCAUCUGGAUGCCAUCUUCGUUACAGAAAGACACACACUAGAGAACUAAUUAUGCUAUGGAUUUUGAUGAGAUAAAUUAGGGUUUAGGGUUUUAGUGUAAAUUUAGGUUUAGACACAUUCAUGUAAGCGUCCCAUUAAUUGAGACGUGAUUCGUUACUUGCGUACCCAAAAUCGGUCAAUCAGAGUUUCACAAUAUACCAAAGUUACUUUCUAUCAUGUUUUCGAUAGGGUGUUUCAUGCCAAAAUUAUUAAAAUUUCGUAAUAUAAUCUCUUUUCAAUUUUCUUGUACAAAUCAAGGUCAUCAUCAAUUGAAUCUUAUAUAAGUUGAAAUCUUUCUUUACGAGUUAAUCGUUAAUGCACACCGAUGUUUCUAUUAUUUUUGAACUAGUUUAAAAAUAACCAAUAAUUAUUUUACUCAAUUAAAAUGAUUCAAUAGCAAUCGAAUCGUUGAGUUUGAAAGUGCUUUUUUUUUGUGCAAUUAAUAGAGGAUUUGAUACCUCAAUUCACUUUUUGUCCACUACUAAAAAAAAUGAACAAUUUCUUCGUCAUUGGGCUGAGUUUUAUCCGAAUUAAAAUUAUUAAAAUUGUUUCAAUUUUAAUUUCAUAAUCGGCACAUUAGUUAUUGAAAUUGGGACAACCUCGAACCAUAAAUGAUAAAAUAAAAUGAUCUGGGUGAGUUAAUUACUUAUGGGUAUUAUUUGGGCGAAGACUCAAAAUUAAGAAACUCAUAACACAAAUGUCAAAAUCCACGCGAUAAAAUAUUUCUUCAAUUCAAAAAUCAAAAUUUCACUGUCGCUGGCGCUGCUAGAUCUUCUUCCCUAAACAUCGUUGUUACUCAAAAUAUUUGAGUAACCGCUAAUGUAGUACAAAAAAUAUGAAACUGUCAAAUAUAUUACAAAAAAUAUUCGUGUAAAUACAUGAAAGNAAAAGAUGCAAAACAAUCAAGAUGAUCAAGAACAAUGCCAAUGCCACUUCAUGUUACUUAAAUGCACAUAGUUAACUGCAAAAAAUCUGAGCACAAGUAAAUAUUCAAGGUGCGGAAAUGUCAAAUGAGCAUAAACAGACACUACUUGUCUACUUCAACAAGGGUAUGUCAGUGCCGCAAAGCUGUGUAACAGCAUCUAUGUAUAUUUAUAAUGAGGUUUUUAGCAAUAUCUAGCUGAGAUGUCAGCUAGUGAGUCCCAUUAGAUGGCAAACUAAUACUAUAUCUCUAGAACAAACUCUAAGCUAAUACAAAAGACACGGAGUAAUUCACAAAACUCACCUACAUCUAGCUCAUGACAUAA
Molecule: long non-coding RNA, 3470 nt
Filed under: Salvia miltiorrhiza (redroot sage)
Lineage: Eukaryota; Viridiplantae; Streptophyta; Magnoliopsida; Lamiales; Lamiaceae
Description: long non-coding RNA (SMIL_LNC006922)
Source: RNAcentral